ACUCCUACGGGAGGCGCAGUGUGGAAUAUUGCACAAUGGAGGAAACUCUGAUGCAGCCAUGCCGCGUGCAGGAUGAAGGCCCUAUGGGUUGUAAACUGCUUUUUUACAAGAAGAAACCUUGGUACGUGUACCAACUGACGGUAUUGUAAGANAAG
RNAcentral lists this ribosomal RNA (155 nucleotides) under uncultured Bacteroidota bacterium. RNAcentral describes it as "uncultured Bacteroidetes bacterium partial 16S ribosomal RNA". It matches the Rfam family "Bacterial small subunit ribosomal RNA", at positions 335 to 489 of the family's 1533-position model. The record is from RNAcentral. Lineage: Bacteria; Pseudomonadati; Bacteroidota.